This 254-nucleotide unclassified non-coding RNA is filed under the name Hevea brasiliensis (rubber tree). Lineage: Eukaryota; Viridiplantae; Streptophyta; Magnoliopsida; Malpighiales; Euphorbiaceae. The record is from RNAcentral.
UACAGGAAAUAUGGAGGUAUUACUUCGGUAUGGGAAUGAGGUACAGAUGAAGGAAUGGCUUGUUCCCUUGCUUGAAGGUAAUAUACGCUCUGGCUUUGCAAUGACAGAGCCUCAAGUUGCAUCCUCAGAUGCCACCAAUAUAGAGUGUUCCAUUAAAAGACAUGGCAACUCGUAUAUUAUCAACGGGACAAAAUGGUGGACUAGUGGAGCCAUGGAUCCCCGGUGCAAAAUUCUCAUUGUGAUGGGAAAAACUG